CCUGGCCCCAGGUCUUUAGCCAGACUUAUUUUAGCCAUGUACGCAACUCACUUACAAUUAUUUUUGCUGCUUAUUUUGAGCAUUUGCCAGGGUUUGCGGGCGCAGACUUAUGAGGAGUUAAGGGAAAAUGGCGAACUAACGCCCAAAACUCUUUGUCUACGCGAUAUUACCGGACACGUAACUAUCUGUUACAAAUAAAAACUUUAACUGCAAAGAAAUGGUGUUUUUUUGUCUCAAAAUAAGCAAUAAACCAGAUUGUGUAUACGUCUACCAUUUUGUAGAUUCUCCAAUUUAUUUUCUGCAUUUGCGUACAUUUUUAUGGCACUGCCAGUACGUCUGUCUCCACAAUUUUCAUUUGCUUUUCUAUUUCGUUUUUGCCUUUUAUGGCCGCUCAGCACCAAAUCUUGAGCAAGAAAAUGUUCUUACUUUUUUUUUUGAAGCACAAAAAGUUUUAUUGUUUACUUUUUGGUGUGCUGAAAAUUUACGAGUCUUGAAGAGCAUGUGUGUGUACAUGUGUGUGCACAGUUCAUAGUCUAUAUAUUCCUGCUUUAUAAACGCACAAUUUUCAGUCUGAAAUCUGUGUAGCACACACUCUCGUAAAUAUUAAUUUACUUAACUUCAACUUGCGGCUCUAGUCGCUUAUUUUAUUUGUGUUUUAUUUUUUAUUUUUUCUGCACGUAGAUACUAAAAAUGAUGUCUGUCAUAAGCAUAAACUGAAUAGUUUAUUUCUAUUCUCCAGCCACCCCUGUUUUUCAGACCUUUCCAGCAGCCGUUUGCCCUUAAUUUAAUUAAUAAUGUCUAAAGGUUAAAAAGCGAUGAGAUUGCGAUUUCCUGCUAAUAAUUAUAGAUUUCAUGGCAUGCGAAAGUGUAAAUUUUUAGCAAAUAAACUUGUUACCUGGUAAACUUCUGAAGGAGAACUGCACAUAAAAUAAACUGUUAACUGUGUGUUGCAUUUAUUUUAUCCUUUUUGAAUGCAUAAUUUUUAGCAACACAAAAAAAAAACAUAUUUAAGUUUUAACAACUACUCAAAACAAUAAUUGCCGAAGAAGCACGUUUA
RNA transcript from Drosophila virilis, 1057 nucleotides. RefSeq lists it as uncharacterized. The record is from RefSeq and is a predicted model, not a curated record. Lineage: Eukaryota; Metazoa; Arthropoda; Insecta; Diptera; Drosophilidae.